This 67-nucleotide transfer RNA is filed under the name Sardina pilchardus (European sardine). RNAcentral describes it as "tRNA-Cys". It matches the Rfam family "tRNA". From Rfam's summary of the family: Transfer RNA (tRNA) molecules are approximately 80 nucleotides in length. Their secondary structure includes four short double-helical elements and three loops (D, anti-codon, and T loops). Lineage: Eukaryota; Metazoa; Chordata; Actinopteri; Clupeiformes; Clupeidae. The record is from RNAcentral.
AGCCCUGUAGUGAAGUUCAUGUCGGGUUGCAAACCCGAAGACGUAGGCUAACUGCCUACCGGGGCUU